Molecule: ribosomal RNA, 480 nt
Filed under: Streptococcus sp. oral taxon 068
Lineage: Bacteria; Bacillati; Bacillota; Bacilli; Lactobacillales; Streptococcaceae
Description: bacterial SSU rRNA
Rfam family: Bacterial small subunit ribosomal RNA
Source: RNAcentral
GAUGAACGCUGGCGGCGUGCCUAAUACAUGCAAGUAGAACGCUGAAGCUUGGUGCUUGCACCGAGCGGAUGAGUUGCGAACGGGUGAGUAACGCGUAGGUAACCUGCCUGGUAGCGGGGGAUAACUAUUGGAAACGAUAGCUAAUACCGCAUAACAGUCGACAUUGCAUGAUGUUGAUUUGAAAGGGGCAAAUGCUCCACUACCAGAUGGACCUGCGUUGUAUUAGCUAGUUGGUGAGGUAACGGCUCACCAAGGCGACGAUACAUAGCCGACCUGAGAGGGUGAUCGGCCACACUGGGACUGAGACACGGCCCAGACUCCUACGGGAGGCAGCAGUAGGGAAUCUUCGGCAAUGGGGGCAACCCUGACCGAGCAACGCCGCGUGAGUGAAGAAGGUUUUCGGAUCGUAAAGCUCUGUUGUAAGAGAAGAACGAGUGUGAGAGUGGAAAGUUCACACUGUGACGGUAACUACCAGAAAGG